This 503-nucleotide ribosomal RNA is filed under the name uncultured bacterium. RNAcentral describes it as "partial 16S ribosomal RNA". It matches the Rfam family "Bacterial small subunit ribosomal RNA", at positions 30 to 523 of the family's 1533-position model. The record is from RNAcentral.
AUUGAACGCUGGCGGCAGGCUUAACACAUGCAAGUCGAGCGGGGUGAUGGUGCUUGCACUAUCACUUAGCGGCGGACGGGUGAGUGAUGCUUAGGAAUCUGCCUAUUAGUGGGGGACAACAUCUCGAAAGGGAUGCUAAUACCGCAUACGUCCUACGGGAGAAAGCAGGGGAUCACUUGUGACCUUGCGCUAAUAGAUGAGCAUAAGUCGGAUUGGCUAGUUGGUGGGGUAAAGGCCUACCAAGGCGACGAUCUGUAGCGGGACUGAGAGGAUGAUCCGCCACACUGGGACUGAGACACGGCCCAGACUCCUACGGGAUGCAGCAGUGGGGAAUAUUGGACAAUGGGGGGAACCCUGAUCCAGCCAUGCCGCGUGUGUGAAGAAGGCCUUAUGGUUGUAAAGCACUUUAAGCGAGGAGGAGGCUCUUUUGGUUAAUACCCAAGAUGAGUGGACGUUACUCGCAGAAUAAGCACCGGCUAACUCUGUGCCAGCCGCCGCCGUAA